UACAGAGGUCUCAAGCGUUGUUCGGAUUCAUUGGGCGUAAAGGGUGUGUAGGCGGCGCCGUAAGUCGGGUGUGAAAUUUCGGAGCUUAACUCCGAAACUGCAUUCGAUACUGCGGUGCUUGAGGACUGGAGAGGAGACUGGAAUUCAUGGUGUAGCAGUGAAAUGUGUAGAGAUCAUGAGGAAGACCAGUGGCGAAGGCGGGUCUCUGGACAGUUCCUGACACUGAGACACGAAGGCCAGGGGAGCAAACGGG
This 253-nucleotide ribosomal RNA is filed under the name uncultured bacterium. Its description in RNAcentral is "partial 16S ribosomal RNA". It matches the Rfam family "Bacterial small subunit ribosomal RNA", at positions 524 to 776 of the family's 1533-position model. The record is from RNAcentral.